Molecule: long non-coding RNA, 557 nt
Filed under: Homo sapiens (human)
Lineage: Eukaryota; Metazoa; Chordata; Mammalia; Primates; Hominidae
Description: non-protein coding lnc-DDX51-11:1
Source: RNAcentral
CAUAUUUCAAGGUUGGCUACCAACCCUGAAUAAGAUUAAAAAGUAUCUGGUUUGGAAAAAGCCAUUCUUUACUUUAUUAGGCAGACUUUAGGUAAAUCAUUUUCCAUUUAAGAAUAUCAUGAUCACUCCUACUACACAAUGAGAUUUAAAAAAUACAGUCAACAUAUAAAUAUGCAUAUGUUACAAUGGCCUAAGAAAAGGAAAACUGUUUUUCUAAUUUAAAUCCAGUGGGGAAGCCUUUUGUUUAAGGAAGCCGACAGAGCCCCGGAAGGGGGCUAACACCUCCUCCCCUUCCCUGGAAAUUCCAUUAAUGUGAAUUUAAGCUCCAGAGGAGGCAUGGGAAACAGGAGAAAGGUAUCUACAGGUCAGAAAACCCACACAAAUGCACGGUUUCCUAAGAGCUUUGGAAAAGGCUUGAGCUCAGACCCAUCGGGGGACCAGGAAGGAGGUGGCAUGACAUGAAGAGGGGAAAUUAGCAAGGAACCCCAGGGGCAGUGGGGCCAGCCCUCUCCUCACGGGGUUAGGGGAGAAAAAAAAUCAAAUACCUGCUUUGCCCA